GAUGAACGCUGGCGGCGUGCCUAAUACAUGCAAGUCGAGCGAACGGACGAGAAGCUUGCUUCUCUGAUGUUAGCGGCGGACGGGUGAGUAACACGUGGAUAACCUACCUAUAAGACUGGGAUAACUUCGGGAAACCGGAGCUAAUACCGGAUGAUAUUUUGAACCGCAUGGUUCAAAAGUGAAAGACGGCCUUGCUGUCACUUAUAGAUGGAUCCGCGCUGCAUUAGCUAGUUGGUAAGGUAACGGCUUACCAAGGCAACGAUGCAUAGCCGACCUGAGAGGGUGAUCGGCCACACUGGAACUGAGACACGGUCCAGACUCCUACGGGAGGCAGCAGUAGGGAAUCUUCCGCAAAGGGCGAAAGCCUGACGGAGCAACGCCGCGUGAGUGAUGAAGGUCUUCGGAUCGUAAAACUCUGUUAUUAGGGAAGAACAUAUGUGUAAGUAACUGUGCACAUCUUGACGGUACCUAAACAGAAAGCCACGGCUAACUACGUG
Molecule: ribosomal RNA, 497 nt
Filed under: uncultured bacterium
Lineage: Bacteria
Description: partial 16S ribosomal RNA
Rfam family: Bacterial small subunit ribosomal RNA
Source: RNAcentral